CGCAACGAGCGCAACCCCUACUGCCAGUUACUAACAGGUUAUGCUGAGGACUCUGGCGGAACUGCCGGUGACAAACCGGAGGAAGGUGGGGAUGACGUCAAGUCAUCAUGGCCCUUAUGUCCAGGGCUACACACGUGCUACAAUGGGCGGCACAAAGCGAUGCAAUACCGCGAGGUUGCAGCGAAGCGCAAAAAACCGCCCGUAGUUCGGAUUGAAGUCUGAAACCCGACUUCAUGAAGUUGGAAUCGCUAGUAAUCGUACAUCAGCAUGGUACGGUGAAUACGUUCCCGGGCCUUGUACACACCGCCCGUCACACCAUCCGAGUUGGAGGUACCCGAAGCCGGUAGUCUAACCGCAAGGAGGACGCUGUCRAAGGUACGUUUAGCGAGGGGGGUGAAGUCGUAACAAGGUAGCCGUACUGGAAAGUGCGGCUGGAUCACCUCCUUUCU
Molecule: ribosomal RNA, 449 nt
Filed under: uncultured bacterial symbiont of Hodotermes mossambicus Hm7
Lineage: Bacteria
Description: bacterial SSU rRNA
Rfam family: Bacterial small subunit ribosomal RNA
Source: RNAcentral